Molecule: long non-coding RNA, 157 nt
Organism: Varanus komodoensis (Komodo dragon)
Lineage: Eukaryota; Metazoa; Chordata; Lepidosauria; Squamata; Varanidae
Exons: 3
Source: RefSeq, a predicted model, not a curated record
AGAUGAAGAAACUAAAAAAGGAUUGAAGGUAAAGUGGUGUUGCUGCUUGUGAUGCCUCUCGUGUGAAGCUUGCGGAUAACCAUCUUCCGCAUCAGCAGUGUCAAACCUCAGGAAUUUCUGCCGUUCUCAACUCAUUGAGUGCUUUCUGACCUGGGAG